UACGUAGGCAGCGAGCGUUGUUCGGAAUUACUGGGCGUAAAGAGUGUGUAGGCGGUGCUCUAAGUUUGGUGUGAAAUCUCCCGGCUCAACUGGGAGGGUGCGCCGAAUACUGAAUGACUAGAGUGCGGGAGAGGAUAGUGGAAUUCCUGGUGUAGCGGUGAAAUGCGUAGAUAUCGGAAGGAACAUCAGUGGCGAAGGCGACUUUCUGGACAAAUACUGACACUGAGGCACGAAAGCAUGGGGAGCAAACAGG
This 253-nucleotide ribosomal RNA is filed under the name uncultured bacterium. RNAcentral's name for it is "partial 16S ribosomal RNA". It matches the Rfam family "Bacterial small subunit ribosomal RNA", at positions 524 to 776 of the family's 1533-position model. The record is from RNAcentral.